Molecule: unclassified non-coding RNA, 317 nt
Filed under: uncultured fungus
Lineage: Eukaryota; Fungi
Description: partial contains 5.8S ribosomal RNA and internal transcribed spacer 2
Rfam family: 5.8S ribosomal RNA (bases 1-133)
Source: RNAcentral
UGGUUCUGGCAUCGAUGAAGAACGCAGCGAAAUGCGAUAAGUAGUGUGAAUUGCAGAAUUCAGUGAAUCAUCGAAUCUUUGAACGCACAUUGCGCCCUCCGGUAGUCCGUUGGGCAUGCCUGUUCGAGCGUUAUUUAAACCUUCAAGCGCAGCUUGGUGUUGGGUGCUUGUCCUCCCCCGCGGCGGACUCACCUCAAAUGCAUUGGCGGCCGGUAUGUUGGCUUCGAGCGCAGUACAACGCGCCCGGUGCCCCGACGUGCUGGUCCUCCAGGAGCCUCUUCAAUCUUGACCUCGGAUCAGGUAGGGAUACCCGCUGA